Molecule: long non-coding RNA, 6546 nt
Filed under: Homo sapiens (human)
Lineage: Eukaryota; Metazoa; Chordata; Mammalia; Primates; Hominidae
Description: non-protein coding lnc-ITGB8-9:1
Source: RNAcentral
UCCGCCUCCUGGGUUCAAGCAAUUCUCUGCCUCAGCCUUCCACGUAGCCGAGAUUACAGGUGCCUACCACCACGCCCAGCUAAUUUUUUGUAUUUUUAGUAGAGACGGAGUUUCACCAUCUUGGCCAGGCAGGUCUUGAACUCCCGACCUCGUGAUCCACCCGCCUCGGCCUCCCAAAGUGCUGGGAUUACAGGCAUGAGCCACCGCGCCCAGCCUUUUUUUUUUUUUUUAAUGGAGUCUUGCUCUGUCUCCCAGGCUGGAGUGCAGUGGCCCGAUCUUGGCUCACUGCAACUUCCGCCCCCCAAGCUCAAGCGAUUCUCUUGCCUCGGCCUCCUGAGUAGCUGGGACUACAGGCCUUCGCCACCACACCCAGCUAAUUUUUUGUAUUUUUAGUAGAGAAGGGGUUUCACUAUGUUGGCCAGGCUUGUCUCGAAUUCCUGAGCUCAAGCAAUCAGCCUGCCUCGGCCUCCCAAAGUGCUGGGAUUACAGGCAUGAGCCACCGCGUCAGGCCCCCAGUUGCUUUUCUGAGUAGUCAUAUCAACUGACAGUCUACCAGCAAUUUAUGAGAGUUCUCAUUGCUCCGUUGCCUUACUAAUGCUUGGUAUGUUGAGGCCUUUAAUUUUUUAAAGCAAUUUAUUGAGUGUAAUAGUAUCCCAUCUUAAUUUAGAUUUAUAUUUCCCUGAUUCAAUCUUCUCUGAAUUACCUAUUCAUUUUGGAGGGGUUCACUGAACUUUCUAAAUAGAAGGGCUUUUGUCUUUCAUAAAAUCCAGAAAAUAUCUGUAAUUAUCUCUUCUAAUGUUGUUUCUCUUUUAUUCUUCCUCUUAUAUGCUAUUAGUUAUAGAACUUUUCACUCAAUCCACUAUGCCACUUAACCUUUCAUAUUUUCUAUCUUAUUUGUCUCUCUCUGAUAUUUCUGUGUACUCUGUUGAUACCUCAGUUCACUAGUUCUUUCUUCAGUUAUCCCUAAGCAAAAAUAUCCUUUCUAUUAAGUUUCUAAUUUCAGUCCUGUAGUUCUUUUUAGUAGACUUACCUGAUUUUUUUUCAGAUCAGCUAGUUAAUUUUUGGUAGACUUUCAGUCUUCAUUUUACUUUUAGUACCAUCUUUUAUUCCAAUAAACACAUUAGGCAUUUUUACCUUAUUUUGUAAUCUAUGUAUGUUAUUUAAAAUCUGUAGUCUGUGUGCAUAUUGUUUUGCAGAAAUCUUUUUGUUUGUAAUUGUAAUCUUUUAAAAAUGUUAUUUGCAAGAGGAAGGUUAAGUAUUUUGCCAUAUCAUUGGAAAAUAAAGAUAAUUUUUUUAAUUUUUCCUAAUAUUGAUACCAGUUAUUUAUGUUUCCUUCCUAACUGCAUUUAGAAAUAGCUCCACAACAAUACUGAAUGUUAUUAAAAAUAGUAGCAUUCCUCUCUUAUUUCUGAUAUUUUCUCUAUUUAAUCAUAUCUACUACUCCCUCUUGGAAAUUCUGAGUGCUAACAGACUUUGUAAAUAAACAGCCGACAUUCAUCACAAUCCACAAAAUGCAAACAAAACAAUACAUUUAGUAUCUAGCAGUCAUCUUCAAGGAAUUGCAUGUGCAUGGCAUCAUUUAAACAUUUUUUAAAAAAACAAAGAAAAUUAAACAAAAAUACACAGAAAAUUUUUAAAAAGUUAGUUAUUCUGCCUUAAAUUCUACAAAAAAGACAAGAAAGAUGAUUGAAAAACAUAAAUGCACAAGGAUAAAGCCAACGUGAGAAGACAGUACUACAACAGAGUUUGGGAAACUAGAAAGCAGGUGUAUCAAUUUACUAUGGCUACUUUAAACAAUACCUCAAAUUUGGUGACUUAAAACAGCGCACAUUUAUUUUCUUACAGUUCUGGAUAUCAGAAGCUCAAAGGGUUUCAAUAGAUUAAACCAAAGUGCUAGCAGGGGUACACUUCCUCAGGAAGCUCUAUGAUGGAAUCUCUUUCCCUGCCUUUUCCAAAUUCUAGAGCUGCAUUCCUUGCAUUUCUUGGCUCAUCACCCCUUCCUCCACCUUCAAAGCUAGCAGCAAAGUAUCUUCAAUUCUCUGUUUCCAUCAUCAUAUCACCUUCUUCCUCUUUUGUGGUCAAAUCUCUGUCCACCCUCCUCUCAUGAUUAUAUUUAGGAAACACCUGGAAAAUCCCCCUCUCUGAAGAUACUUAACUGAAUUACAUAUGCAAGGCCCCCUUUUGCCAUGUAAAGUAACUCUCUCAGGUUCCAUGAAAUAGAUCUUAGAUAUCUUUGGGGCACAUUAUUCAAGCUAUCACUGAGGUAAGAAGCUUAGUACCUCAAAGCUGAAAACUACACUAUCAGUAAGGAAAGCAACUGACAUUUUUUUCACAGAAAAAUGCUAACUGAGGCUUAGUCAUUGAAGGCAGCAGCCAGGUACCUCUGCAACAGAGGGUAAUGGGUGGUGUGAAAAUUAAGAGAAUCGAUUAGCUAUAGAAGAAGGUACAAGAUUCCACAGAUUACUUUCCCAACCCUUUUCUGUCAGGUCACUGCCUCUCUCCCCAUGUCAUGGAAUCAGGGACACUGCACAUUGCUAACGGAAAGGGUACCACAUGGAAAAAAAGGAUAUUCAUUAACCAAUCAUUGAAGCCCAGUCACCUUUCCCCAGCUGGAUCUAAAAAUGCUACAUAAGAUGUAUCAGCCUAUCAAUAGUUGGCUAAUAAAUGAGUAUUCUUUGCUUGCGGAAAUGUACCAGGAGAAUAGGAGAACAGCAGACACUGGGAAAGGCAGAUCUCCUGAUAAAACCAAAUUAAGCAUCAUAGAGUAAAUCCCACCAGUAGACAGGGCCCACACAGCCACACAUACCUUGAAAUCAGAUUUUUAUUGUCUCUGUCUUAAAUCUGAAUGGAAAGUCUCAUAUAGCCAGACAUAGAAGAAAGCCUUCAUUUAGAGGACUGAAGCAAGCCUCUAACAUAAAGGGUGAAGACUUAAGUAAACAAAGGGUGGCAGGGGGAGAAACUCAUCAAAGAAGCAAAAGAAUUUUUAAAUUUUCUCAUAAAAAAUGUUGGAACUUCAGAGAGCUGAGAGUUAUUGUACUCAUAAAAUGAGAACAUGGGGUAAUUUGUUUUAAUGUCAUGAAUAGAACCCAAAAAUCUUGGGAAAUACAAUUAUUAUCAUGGUAAAAUAAAGUUCAAUAAGAAAAGUAAAAAACAAGUUGAAAAAAUCUCUCACAAAGAAAAAAAUAGAAAACAUUAGAAUAUUAUUCUAGGACUUAAAACACUGAACACUUAGAAUUACAGAAAGAAAGAAGAGAGAAGAUGGAGAAGAAAAAAAUAAAGAAAAUGUUUAAAAAUGUUUCAGGCUGAAAGAUUUGAAGUUUCACAUUGAGAGGGAUCAUCAAGAGUUCAAUACAAUGGUUACACAAGACCCAUGGAAAACUACCUCACUGAGAAAUUUCAGAACACUGAUUACAAAGUGAAGUCCUAGAAGCUUCUGAAGAGAAGUCAGAAGAGUCCACAUUCAGAAAUCAAAAUUACAUCAGACCCUCAAUAGAAAUGUUAGAAGCUAGACAAUAAUGGUGUGAUAUCUUCAAAAUUCUGAGAGAAAGUGAUUUCCAACUAAGACUUGUAUACCCAGCCAAACUAUUUUUUUAAUCAGACACAGCAGUUCAAAUGAAGGCAUGCAACUUUUCAAUAAUUUUACCACUCACACAGUCUCUCUCAGGAAGCUAGAGGAGGAUAUAAUUGACUAAAAUAAGGUGAUUCACUAAGGAAGAGCAAAACAGGUGACCCAAGCAAGAAAGGAUCCAUUAAAAAUAUUUCAAAAUAAAGACAUGAUAUGAAUUCCAAAAAAUAUGGCAAUAAAAUCCUAGAACAAGUUUUUUUCUCAACUGAGGGUAAUUUUGUCCCCCAGGGGAUAUAUGACAAUGUAUAGAAACAGUUUUGUUAUCACAAGUACAGGAGUGGAGGAGAGUGCUACUGUCAGCUAGUGGAUUGGUGGAUAGAGGCCAGGGAUGCUGCCAAACAUCCUACAACGUGCAGGACAAUCUCCUGCAAUAAAUAAUAAUGCAGCUCAAAAUGUCAAUAGUGCCAAGGAAGUUGAGAAACCCAGUCCUAGUAAACAGUAGCUGUGCAACAGACUGAAACAGGAACCAGGGCAACUUAAGGGUAAAAGACUUAGAAUUAAUUUUGUGGUCAGUUUAGAACCACUGACUUAUUAGAGCUAAGCCUCAGAAAGUAGCUUUCAACAAAUACAAAAAAUUAUGACAUAAUGUGAGCAAUGCAGUUAAAGAGCCAGGCAGAAAGAACUUGGGGACACAACUAAGCUACAUUCCUUGGUCCUGAUCACUUCAUUACUAAUUUUUGGCCUAACAUAAAAGAUUCUUCAUGACCUUGCCAUGAACUAACAUUCCAAUUUUAUCUCCUGUCAGUUUCCUCCACUAUACAAUUUAUGGGCUUCUGAACACACAUCAAUUUAAUUCUCCAUCAUUGCACAUACCAUUUUUCAUCAUGAAUAUCUCUGUCUACCUUGUCCUCUCAAGGAAUUUAUCACCAUCUCCAAAACUAAGCUCCAAAACUCAAUAAAGUAUGAAUCAAUUAAAAAUGAAUAAAAUGGCUUCUAAAUAAUAGUACAUUGUUAUGUCAUUUUGAAUAUAUAUUCAUAAUGUAAAUAAUUUGUAUAUAUAUUAGUUAAGAGAAUUUCAGCUACUAUAAUCAAGCUUCCCCAAAAUGUACAAUAGCUCAGGCAAAAUAGAAAUUUUUUGCUAACAUGAAAUCCAAAUCAUUGAUAAAUAGGAUCCUCUCCUCACAGGAGUAAUUCAGAGUUCCAGGUACCCUUUAUUUUAUAGUUCCACCCUCUUGACUUCUCAUUUUAAUUUGUUCAUCAGCAUUAAGUGAAUGGAUGGGUAAAAGUAUGCAGAAUAAUGUGCAGGAGUUUUUAUGGUCCAGGUCUGGGUUCAUUGCACACAUCACUUUUUCUCACUGUGUAUCAGCUACAUGACUGCACAUAACUGCAAGGAAAGCUGAGAAAUACUGUCUACCUGCAUGCCCAAACAGAAGAGGAAAUAGAAGGUAAAUAGCUAGCCAGUCUCUGACAUUGCAUGGUUCUAAAAAGCCUUUCUAGCAAUGUUCAGAAACAAACAAAUGAAGUACAAGGAAAUUUGAUUAUGUGUAAGGCACAUUUACAAUAAUUGACUGUCACAUAGUUGUUGAAAUCACAGAACAAAAUGACAGUAAAUGGAAACAUUAAGAUAGAAACAUGAAAGAAUAUAGGAAAGGUCCCUGAGUUGCAAGAUAUAAAAUGAAGGAAGCAGGACAGGUGAGUAAAUAGUGUCAAUUUCAUACAAUGAGAUGCUGUUAGAAAUGGUGGACAGCUGUGAGUUAAAUACUACCAUAUAUAGCAAGAGGAUGCUCCUCUUCCUCCUGUGAGUCAGGAGCAUUAGAAGAAAAAGCUUUAUUAUCAAAAGUUAAAAAACAAAACAAAACAAAAAACUAGAAAGCCACUGUUGUCAAGGAGGUGAGAAAGAUGCAAAAAUGGCAUGUGGAUAAUAGAAACAUUGAUACUAUAUUCUCUUUGUAGCAAUUGUGAAGGGGACUUUGCUCAUGAUUUGGCUUUCUGUCUAUUAUUGGUGUAUAGGAAUGCUUGUGAUUUUUGCACAUUGAUUUUGUAUCCUGAGACUUUGCUGAAGUUGCUUAUCAACUUAAAGAGUUUUUGGGCUGAGACAAUGGGGUUUUCUAAAUAUACAAUCAUGUUAUCUGCAAACAGAGAUAAUUUGAUUUCCUCUCUUCCUAUUUGAAUGUCUUUUAUUUCUUUCUCUUGCCUGAUUGAUUGCUCUGGCCAGAACUUCCAAUACUAUAUUGAAUAUGAAUGGUAAGAGAGGGCAUCCUUGUCUUGUGCCAGUUUUCAAAGAGAAUGCUUCCAGCUUUUGCCCAUUCAGUAUGAUAUUGGCUGUGGGUUUGUCAUAAAUAGCUCUUAUUAUUUUGAGAUAUAUUCCAUCAAUACCUAGUUUAUUGAGUGUUUUUACAUGAAGGGUGUUGAAUUUUAUUGAAGGCCUUUUCUGCCUCUAUUCAGAUAAUCAUGUGGUUUUUGUCAUUAGUUCUGAUUAUGUGAUGGAUUACAUUUAUUGAUUUGCAUAUGUUGAAUCAGCUUUGCAUCCCAGGAAUGGAGCCAAUUUGAUCGUGGUGGAUAAGCUUUUUAAUUAACGUGCUGUUGGAUUUUGUUUGUCAAUAUUUUACUGAGGAUUUUCGCAUCGAUAUUCAUCAGGGAUAUUGGCCUGAAAUUUUCUUUUGUUGUUGUGUCUCCGCCAGGUUUUGGUAUCAGGAUGAUGCUGGCUUCAUAUAAAAUGAGUUAUGGAGGAGUCCCUCUCUUUCUAUUGUUUGGAAUAGUUUCAGAAGGAAUGGUACCAGUUCCUCCUUGUACCUCUCUGCAAGAAUGUGGCUAUCACUCCGUCUGGUCCUGGGCUUUUUUUGAUUGGUAGGCUACUCAUUACUGCCUCAAUUUUAGAACUUGAUAUUGGUCUAUUCAGGAGUUCGACUUGUUCCUGGUUUAGUUUUGGGAGGGUGUAUGUGUCCAGGAAUUUAUUCAUGUCUUCUAGAUUUUCUAGUUUA